CCCAGGAUGUUAGAAAGACAAGGUGGAUGAGGUAAUAUCUUUUAUUGGACCAACUUUUCUCAGUGAAAUAAAGAUCCAGUAAAAGAUAUUACCUCACCCACCUUGUCUCUCUAAAUUUGGCUGGACAGACAUAAUUUACUUUAAUUCUUCUGCAUUUAAUAUCUGGCUAAUUUCCAAGGAUUUUUCUCAUGAGUUGGAGAGUACAGGGCUGGGGAGAAGUAGUUUCUUCCUGCUGGGAGACUGAGGGGAUUGGUACUAGCUCCCUGCCUUCCUGUUGAAUAAAACAUCUCUUCCCUUCGAUUAGGCUGCCAAUAUGACCUAUCUCCCCAACUGGUGCACUGGGCCAAGAACCAGCAAGGGAAAGCAGACUACACUGGGGUGUUAAACUGAGGGCACAGAGGAACCAGUAUGGAAUAAUUAAGCCUGUUGUCUUGAGUGCAUUAAGGAUUAAGGUCCAGAUCCUCAAAAGGCACUUAGAGUUCACUAGAGGCCAAAAAUGCUGAAGGUCGAAAACAUAUUACGACACCACUUCUGCCAAAUCUACUUCAUUGAACUAUUUUUAACUCCUCACUAAAGAUGGGCAGCAAUGAGGCCAAAUGCAAGCAUGAGAGGAAGUUCUAAAUACACCCAAGCACGGAUGACAAAAUUACACAAGAGGUUUGUGCCUGCAGUAUCCACUCUCAUAACAGAGGAGAAACUCCCGUUUUGUGAUUCCAUAAGGUGAAUUAAUGUAAAGCAAUACGUUCUGGAAGAAGAAUUCUAGGAGAAAACAUUGCAAACGGUUGGGAAUAUCCAACAGAAUCUUCUACCUAUUUGACAUAUGCAAUUAAUGCUUGGGAUAAUUU
Molecule: long non-coding RNA, 845 nt
Filed under: Chrysemys picta bellii (western painted turtle)
Lineage: Eukaryota; Metazoa; Chordata; Testudines; Emydidae
Description: lncRNA (ENSCPBG00000012801.1)
Source: RNAcentral